UCUUAUCCAGAGAGGUGGAGGGACUGGCCCUUUGAAGCCUCGGCAACAGACCUGUUAAGGUACUGUGCUAAUUCCUGCAAGCAGUUUAAUGCUUGGAAGAUAAGA
This 105-nucleotide non-coding RNA is filed under the name uncultured Ferdinandcohnia sp. Its description in RNAcentral is "SAM riboswitch (S box leader)". It matches the Rfam family "SAM riboswitch aptamer (S box leader)". From Rfam's summary of the family: The SAM riboswitch is found upstream of a number of genes which code for proteins involved in methionine or cysteine biosynthesis in Gram-positive bacteria. The SAM riboswitch acts at the level of transcription termination control. Lineage: Bacteria; Bacillati; Bacillota; Bacilli; Caryophanales; Bacillaceae. The record is from RNAcentral.